GAUGAACGCUAGCGGGAGGCUUAACACAUGCAAGUCGAGGGGCAGCACGAGGUAGCAAUACUUUGGUGGCGACCGGCGCACGGGUGAGUAACACGUAUGCAACCUACCCUAUACUGGGGGAUAGCCCGGAGAAAUUCGAAUUAAUACCCCAUAAUAAUAUUUGAAGGCAUCUUUAGAUAUUUAAAGCUUCGGCGGUACGGGAUGGGCAUGCGGAACAUUAGCUAGUUGGUAGGGUAACGGCCUACCAAGGCUACGAUGUUUAGGGGACCUGAGAGGGUGAUCCCCCACACUGGUACUGAGACACGGACCAGACUCCUACGGGAGGCAGCAGUGAGGAAUAUUGGUCAAUGGGCGCAAGCCUGAACCAGCCAUCCCGCGUGAAGGAAGAAGGCGCUAUGCGUCGUAAACUUCUUUUCCAGAGGAAGAAAAUUCCGCACGUGUGCGGAACUGCCGGUACUCUGGGAAUAAGCAUCGGCUAACUCCGUGCCAGCAGCCGCGGUAAUACGGAGGAUGCGAGCGUUAUCCGGAUUUAUUGGGUUUAAAGGGUGCGUAGGCGGAUUAAUAAGUCAGUGGUGAAAACCUUCAGCUUAACUGGAGACUUGCCAUUGAUACUGUUAGUCUUGAGUACGGUCAAGGUAGGCGGAAUGUGUAAUGUAGCGGUGAAAUGCUUAGAUAUUACACAGAACACCGAUUGCGAAGGCAGCUUACUGGGCCAUUACUGACGCUGAUGCACGAAAGCGUGGGGAGCGAACAGGAUUAGAUACCCUGGUAGUCCACGCCGUAAACGAUGAUCACUCGCUGUUAGCGAUACACAGUUAGCGGCUAAGCA
This 829-nucleotide ribosomal RNA is filed under the name uncultured bacterium. RNAcentral's name for it is "bacterial SSU rRNA". It matches the Rfam family "Bacterial small subunit ribosomal RNA", at positions 28 to 853 of the family's 1533-position model. The record is from RNAcentral.